Molecule: ribosomal RNA, 253 nt
Filed under: uncultured bacterium
Lineage: Bacteria
Description: partial 16S ribosomal RNA
Rfam family: Bacterial small subunit ribosomal RNA
Source: RNAcentral
UACGUAGGGUGCAAGCGUUGUCCGGAAUUAUUGGGCGUAAAGAGCUCGUAGGCGGUCUGUCGCGUCGGAUGUGAAAACCCAGGGCUCAACCCUGGGUCUGCAUUCGAUACGGGUAGACUAGAGUUCGGUAGGGGAGACUGGAAUUCCUGGUGUAGCGGUGAAAUGCGCAGAUAUCAGGAGGAACACCGGUGGCGAAGGCGGGUCUCUGGGCCGAAACUGACGCUGAGGAGCGAAAGCGUGGGGAGCAAACAGG